AGCGAAAGCUAGUUGUAUUAUUAGUUAAUGCAAGAUCGACUACGUCGACUAAAGUUCUAGGUAGAAUAAUGAUGAUGACAAUUUUUUACCUAUAUGUCUUGACCAAGUCUCGUGCCAGCAGUCGCGGUAAUACGUGGAAGACUAGUGUUAUUCAUCUUUAUUAGGUUUAAAGGGUACCUAGACGGUAUUUCUAGCCCAAAAUAGGGUACGGAUUUACUAGAGUUUUAUGUGAGGAGGGGAGUACUCGUGGAGUAGAGAUGAAAUUUUGUUAUACUAUGAGGUAACUGGUGGCGGCGAAAGCAACCUUCUAUGUAUAAACUGACGUUGAGGGACGAAGGCUUGGGUAGCAAAUAGGAUUAGAUACCCUAGUAGUCCAAGCAGACAAUUCUGAAUGCCAUAGAUUAGAUUUUUUUUGAUCUAUAAAUGAAAGUGUAAGCAUUCCACCUUAGGAGUAAUGUGGCAACACAGGAACUGAAAUCAUUAGACCGUUUCUGAAACCAGUAGUGAAGUAUGUUAUUUAAUUUGAUGGUCCACAAAAAACCUUACCACAACUUGAAUAUUUUUUAAUUAAUACAAGCGUUGCACGGCUGUCUUCAGUUAAUGUCGUGAGAUUUUGGUUAACUCCAUUAAUUAACGUAAACCCUUACUUUAUUUA
This 655-nucleotide ribosomal RNA is filed under the name Acarospora strigata. RNAcentral's name for it is "SSU rRNA". It matches the Rfam family "Bacterial small subunit ribosomal RNA", at positions 374 to 1117 of the family's 1533-position model. The record is from RNAcentral. Lineage: Eukaryota; Fungi; Ascomycota; Lecanoromycetes; Acarosporales; Acarosporaceae.